GAUGAACGCUGGCGGCGUGCCUAAUACAUGCAAGUCGAGCGAACGGACGAGAAGCUUGCUUCUCUGAUGUUAGCGGCGGACGGGUGAGUAACACGUGGAUAACCUACCUAUAAGACUGGGAUAACUUCGGGAAACCGUAGCUAAUACCGGAUAAUAUUUUGAACCGCAUGGUUCAAAAGUGAAAGACGGUCUUGCUGUCACUUAUAGAUGGAUCCGCGCUGCAUUAGCUAGUUGGUAAGGUAACGGCUUGCCAAGGCAACGAUGCAUAGCCGACCUGAGAGGGGGAUCGGCCACACUGGAACUGAGACACGGUCCAGGCUCCUACGGGAGGCAGCAGUAGGGAAUCUUCCGCAAUGGGCGAAAGCCUGACGGAGCAACGCCGAGUGAGUGAUGAAGGUCUUCGGAUCGUAAAACUCUGUUAUUAGGGAAGAACAUAUGUGUAAGUAACUGUGCACAUCUUGACGGUACCUAAUCAGAAAGCCACGGCUAACUACGUG
Molecule: ribosomal RNA, 497 nt
Filed under: uncultured bacterium
Lineage: Bacteria
Description: partial 16S ribosomal RNA
Rfam family: Bacterial small subunit ribosomal RNA
Source: RNAcentral